UUGUCUUUUAUUAAGUUUUCCUAAAGUUUUUUUUUUCAUCUUAAUCUAAUAUGCAUUAAAUUUUUUAACUGCAGGUUCUAGCCAGAUCACGACACUACAAAAGUCUUGCUGGAUGUUGUUCAGAGGCUUUAUGGCGAUCAUUUUUAUACUUCAUGGGGUGAAAUCCCAUAUGAUACUCGACAGGCUAUGUUUAGAGAGUUUAACAUGUAUUGUACAUGGGAUCCAAUGGACAAUGAUAGGGUUGCUGCAAACUUUAAGAGGAAGGGGAGUGCAAGGUUGUCUGAUUGGUUUCGAGGGCUAGAAGGUAUAUGAGGAUGCCCCAAUGGCUAAACGCUGAACAGUAGGAGAAACUUAAGGCAUAUUGGCGAACUCCUGAGUUUAUCGCCAAGUCUGAGCAGGCAAAGGCUGCCCGUGCAUCCCAGAAAGGUGGGUCUUCGCACACUGCGGGUGCAAGAAGUCAGGGGCACGUGGCUAGGACAAUGAAAAAAGCUACGGGACAGAUGCCAACUCAGGAUCAGCUAUUCCUAAAGACCCACACAAAAAAGAAGAAACAGGAGUCGAAUCCGACCGUAUGGGUUGAGGACAGGGCUCGUAAUUCCUAUACGCAAUUUAUGAAUGAUGUGGACCAGUACAACCAAACUUAGCCUGAGCAUCCGAGCCGUCCUCCACCGGAAUUAGAGAUAGAUUUUUAGUGUAGAGCAGUUGGGGGAGUACAAAAGGGUAGAGCGUACGGUCUAGGUCCAAGGAACAACUUAAGUCGCCUUCGGUCAGGAUUGCGAGGUGAAGGGUCUUCUCUACAAGCCGAGGGAGUUGAUGGUGUUCAGGUCGCAGCUAUGGCGCAGUAAAUUGCUGAACUUAAUAAGAAAUUAGCUGAGACUGAGGCAAAAAGAGUUGAGGAAAGUAACACCAUGAAAGCGAGCCUUGAAUCGCUAAUGGCACAAGUUAAAAGCCAUAUUGCAUGUGGACAAUUUGCUGUGCCCCCUUCCCCCCCCCCCCCCCCUCCGACCCAGAAGAUGAUGAUGACAGUGAUUACGUAGCCCGGACACCGAAUGAUCAGUUGUAGUAGUUUGGAUUUAAUAAUGAACUUAUGUUAAAACUAGUUAAUGGUACUUUUGG
Molecule: long non-coding RNA, 1116 nt
Organism: Lycium barbarum (goji berry)
Lineage: Eukaryota; Viridiplantae; Streptophyta; Magnoliopsida; Solanales; Solanaceae
Exons: 4
Source: RefSeq, a predicted model, not a curated record